This 561-nucleotide ribosomal RNA is filed under the name Phomopsis sp. OTU4 TS-2013. RNAcentral describes it as "eukaryotic LSU rRNA". It matches the Rfam family "Eukaryotic large subunit ribosomal RNA", at positions 62 to 648 of the family's 3401-position model. The record is from RNAcentral. Lineage: Eukaryota; Fungi; Ascomycota; Sordariomycetes; Diaporthales; Diaporthaceae.
AAACCAACAGGGAUUGCCCUAGUAACGGCGAGUGAAGCGGCAACAGCUCAAAUUUGAAAUCUGGCUUCGGCCCGAGUUGUAAUUUGCAGAGGAUGCUUCUGGCGCGGUGCCUUCCGAGUUCCCUGGAACGGGACGCCACAGAGGGUGAGAGCCCCGUAUGGUCGGACACCAAGCCUGUGUGAAGCUCCUUCGACGAGUCGAGUAGUUUGGGAAUGCUGCUCUAAAUGGGAGGUAAAUCUCUUCUAAAGCUAAAUACCGGCCAGAGACCGAUAGCGCACAAGUAGAGUGAUCGAAAGAUGAAAAGCACCUUGAAAAGGGGGUUAAAUAGUACGUGAAAUUGUUGAAAGGGAAGCACUUAUGACCAGACUUGGGCCGGGCGGCUCAUCAGGGGUUCUCCCCUGUGCACUCCGCCCGGCACAGGCCAGCAUCGGUUCUCGUGGGGGGAUAAGACCGUCAGGAACGUAGCACCCUCCGGGGUGUGUUAUAGCCUGGCGGACGAUACCCCCGUGGGGACCGAGGUCCGCGCUCCGCAAGGAUGCUGGCGUAAUGGUCAUCAGUGAC